RNAcentral lists this ribosomal RNA (253 nucleotides) under uncultured bacterium. Its description in RNAcentral is "partial 16S ribosomal RNA". It matches the Rfam family "Bacterial small subunit ribosomal RNA", at positions 524 to 776 of the family's 1533-position model. The record is from RNAcentral.
UACGUAGGGUGCAAGCGUUAAUCGGAAUUACUGGGCGUAAAGCGUGCGCAGGCGGUUUUGCAAGACAGAUGUGAAAUCCCCGGGCUUAACCUGGGAACUGCAUUUGUGACUGCAAGGCUAGAGUGUGUCAGAGGGAGGUGGAAUUCCGCGUGUAGCAGUGAAAUGCGUAGAUAUCGGGAGGAACACCAGUGGCGAAGGCGAAUCUCUGGACAAUUCCUGACACUGAUGCUCGAAAGCUAGGGGAGCAAACGGG